RNAcentral lists this ribosomal RNA (406 nucleotides) under uncultured bacterium. Its description in RNAcentral is "partial 16S ribosomal RNA". It matches the Rfam family "Bacterial small subunit ribosomal RNA", at positions 30 to 526 of the family's 1533-position model. The record is from RNAcentral.
AUUGAACGCUGGCGGCAGGCCUAACACAUGCAAGUCGAACGAGUGGCGGACGGGUGAGUAAUGUCUGGGAAACUGCCUGAUGGAGGGGGAUAACUACUGGAAACGGUAGCUAAUACCGCAUACCAUCGGAUGUGCCCAGAUGGGAUUAGCUAGUAGGUGGGGUAAAGGCUCACCUAGGCGACGAUCCCCAGCUGGUCUGAGAGGAUGACCAGCAACACGUGAACGGAGACACGGCCCAGACUCCUACGGGAGGCACCAGUGAGGAAUAUUGCGCAAGGGGCGGAAGCCUGAUGCAGCCAUGCCGCGUGUAUGAAGCAGGCCUUCGGGUUGUAAAGUACUUUCAGCGGAGAGGCGUUACCCGCAGAAGAAGCACCGGCUAACUCCGUGCCAGCAGCCGCGGUAAUUC